UACGUAGGUGGCAAGCGUUGUCCGAAAUUAUUGGGCGUAAAGCGCGCGCAGGCGGUCCUUUAAGUCUGAUGUGAAAGCCCACGGCUCAACCGUGGAGGGUCAUUGGAAACUGGGGGACUUGAGUGCAGGAGAGAAGAGUGGAAUUCCACGUGUAGCGGUGAAAUGCGUAGAGAUGUGGAGGAACACCAGUGGCGAAGGCGACUUCCUGGCCUGUUCUUGACGCUGAGGCGCGAAAGCUAGGGGAGCAAACGGG
This 253-nucleotide ribosomal RNA is filed under the name uncultured bacterium. RNAcentral's name for it is "partial 16S ribosomal RNA". It matches the Rfam family "Bacterial small subunit ribosomal RNA", at positions 524 to 776 of the family's 1533-position model. The record is from RNAcentral.